Molecule: ribosomal RNA, 106 nt
Filed under: uncultured bacterium
Lineage: Bacteria
Description: partial 16S ribosomal RNA
Rfam family: Bacterial small subunit ribosomal RNA
Source: RNAcentral
CCUUGUACACACCGCCCGUCACACCACGAAAGCCUGUUGGACCAGAAGUCACUAGGCCAACCCGUAAGGGAGGCAGGUGCCAAAGGUCUGGCCGGUGAUUGGGGUG